This 77-nucleotide transfer RNA is filed under the name Actinomyces viscosus. RNAcentral describes it as "tRNA-Pro". It matches the Rfam family "tRNA". From Rfam's summary of the family: Transfer RNA (tRNA) molecules are approximately 80 nucleotides in length. Their secondary structure includes four short double-helical elements and three loops (D, anti-codon, and T loops). The record is from RNAcentral. Lineage: Bacteria; Bacillati; Actinomycetota; Actinomycetes; Actinomycetales; Actinomycetaceae.
CGGGCUGUGGCGCAGUUUGGUAGCGCACCUGCUUUGGGAGCAGGGGGCCGCGGGUUCAAAUCCCGCCAGCCCGACCC